GAAACUCGAUUUAGAGGUUCCUUCAAAUCCAAAAAAUAGUACUAAAUUUUCUUCGAUUGAAAUUCAUGGUAUCGCAACUAUUUAGAUCAUAAACCUUUUUUCGCUAACCAUUCCUGAAAUUAGGAAAUCGAUCCUGGAUUAUUUUCUAUCAUAUUUUGACCAACCAAAAAUUAUUUACACCAUGUGGAAAAAGCAUCAUGUGCAAGAAUUUUAACUCUCGAAGUAUUUGAAAAAUUGCCUCAAAGUAUAUUUCAAAAAUGCUUCACUAACUUCCUUCAUUUGUAUUUUUUGGUAAAAAAAAAAUUUCAAACAAAAAAUCAUUGAACAUUUAAAAAAUAUUUCUCAGAAAAUUGACAGCACCCAUGAAAUUUGAAACUUGUAUUGCUACGAUGAUACUUAAAAUAGAUGGUAAUACAAUAUUUUUACGGCAUAGUCCUAUAUAGUUUCGGAGAUAUAAAUUUUUAAAAUUUUCAUUAGGAACAUAUGAUAUUCAUAAAAUUUAUUUCCAUUGCUAAUUUUAUAUUUUUUUCAUUACGAUCGAGAUGUUUUGCGUUGAAUGUGGGGGGAAUAAUAAACCAAAGUGUAAAAUUUGUAUGUCUUUAUGACUUGUUUCAAGUCGCAAAAUGAAUGUUCAAAUCGAUAUCAACUACUGCAAUAAAUGAAUUGCUUGAAUGUUGUUAGGUCAUUAACAAUUAGAAAUUAAGUACAUUUGUUAAAAAAUCUGAAUCAUCAAAAAAGUUGUUCUCAUAUUUGUUUAUGGAUUGAAUCAUCAUUCUAGAGAAAUACCUAAAAUUUCUGUGGGAACAUUCAUGAUUGCAACAGGUAUAGCUAUAGCUUUCAGGACAUAAUCCAUUUUCAAUAUUUCGAAAUGAUUUCGUGAAAAAUGUGUAAUUUACAUUUCAUGGAGUUUUUCAAUUUACUUGAACUUUUUCUAUAUGGAUAAGAUAAAUUCUGAGGAUGACAAUGUAAAAAAAAAAACAAAAAACAGUCGACAUGAAUUAUCGAUUUUUAAUCGGAAAUAUCGGACACUAUUUCCUAAUGAAUUUGAGUUUACUCAACUUUUCUAAGAAUAGAGAUCAUUUAGAUAUCAUUAGAAUAAAUAGACACUUUCAAAAAUUCAUAUUCAUAUCACGUCUCGAAUAAUUUCACUUUCGUGAUCCGUGGGAUAAUCUCUAGUUUUAAUUAACGAUGCUGUUGAAUUUGUUAUUUGAAAUCACUAUCGCCCGACUGGUUGCGAUAUACAUAUUUUCCAACACUAAUUAUUUUUUAGCAUAUUAUUCUGGGAGCAGAAAGGAUCAAAAAGCAAGACUUCUGACGCCAGUGACGUAAACAAUUUGUAUUUCCAUGAUCCCAAUUUGGUUCAGGCGAAAAACGAUAAUCUUCUAAUACUGAAUAUGAUGAUAAAGAUUCAUGCGUUCAAUUAUUUGUGUCUAUGUACUGCCUAAUCAGGUAAAAUGUCGCGUUAAAUAUUUUGAUUUGAUUUGCCUUAAAAUGAAAGUAUGAAUUAUUCACUAUAUAUUUUUUGUGAAAAAUACUACUAUGUCAAUAAAUACCGAAGAUCUAUCAAUGAUACACAAUAAGUAUUAUCCUUCCAAAUAUCUUGUAUCUUUCAAAGAGGGCCACUUCCGAAACAAUACAAUCCUUUUGAGGAAAAAUCCAAUCAUCAGAAAAAUAUGUAAUGUCACAAAUCUAACAAGAGGUGGGCCAAAUGAAAACAAUCCGAAAAAUUAAUUGAAAUCGAAAUCAAAUAUACAAAAAUGAUAAAAAAAUCAUUCCGAAUUUGAUUCGCUUUCAUUUUCGGUGUCAGUUUGACCAUAACAGCAUUUCUCUAUGGUCGACACCCUAGUGUUAUCAAGUCGCCACAUGAUUUUUUUCAAACAUCCUCUAUGAUGUGUUUUAUGCAUUUCCGACAUUCCUCAGCACCGAUAGAAUGAUUUUCUUCCUUACUAUUCUGUGAAUUGGAUAUACAAAUCAUGAAUUCAUAAUUAUUGAUAUCCACAUUCCGUUCCAAGUACGAUCCUGACAGUCUGUUAGGGAUGAAGGAGGGAUAGGUUUUAUGACCGUUUGACCAAUAACAUUUUCUAAACGCAAACCAUGCGAUUUACUGUGUUUAUAUUGCUCCGUCUUGUUUUUGAACGGACAAAGGACAAAAGUUUAUUCUUUCCACAAUUCUGGUCAUAUUCUAUGAAAUAUGCGCUUCGGCACAAUGAAUUCUUUUGGCAAUACAAAAUUCAACACUGAUUCUUUUGCGGCUCGAUAUUUGAUUUUAGAAAUUGGCAAAAUUGCAAAACACGCCUGAGAUGAACUGAUAAAAAUAGAGAACUCUUAACAACUUAAAUGGUAGAUGAAGUUUAACCAACUCAUCACAAUAGUAAUAUGACAUAUUAGUCCGAAUACGGUUUAGAAAACAUUUUUAUAUCAAAUUGGAAAUAGCUAUUAUAAUUUCCGAGAAAACCUCUGAAAAAUUCACGAUGAAUGACCAGAUUUCUGUAUUAUAACUUCCAACGGAUUUCAUGAAAACUCUAGAAAUUGAAAGGCUGGAAAUAUGCUC
Molecule: long non-coding RNA, 2551 nt
Organism: Harmonia axyridis
Lineage: Eukaryota; Metazoa; Arthropoda; Insecta; Coleoptera; Coccinellidae
Exons: 2
Source: RefSeq, a predicted model, not a curated record